GUGAGCGUAGCUCAGUCGGUUAGAGCGACAGGUUGUGGCCCUGUAGGUCGCGGGUUCGAGUCCCGUCGCUCACCCCA
RNAcentral lists this transfer RNA (77 nucleotides) under Kiritimatiellia bacterium. Its description in RNAcentral is "Kiritimatiellae bacterium (marine metagenome) tRNA-His". It matches the Rfam family "tRNA". From Rfam's summary of the family: Transfer RNA (tRNA) molecules are approximately 80 nucleotides in length. Their secondary structure includes four short double-helical elements and three loops (D, anti-codon, and T loops). The record is from RNAcentral. Lineage: Bacteria; Pseudomonadati; Kiritimatiellota; Kiritimatiellia.